UUGUUCAGGAAAUGCAGCAGAUCAUCAAGCAGGUGCAGCAAGUAUUGAGGAAUGGGAUUGGAAUGUUACCUUCACUGCAAAGAGCAGAAACGAUGGAAGAUCUCGCUUCAUCUGUACGAUGCACUGGAGUGGAACCCACUCUCAGGGCCUCACAACCGGCCGCUUUUUCAUAUCCCAAUGAUGUGGCCUGGAAGACUAGAGCACCUUCAGGGUGCCGGAGUUUCAUGGUUCUGGAGACAGGCUGAUUCAAGGCUGGUGCCCCCGUUUGAGGCAUCACGGGAGAACACACAAGAUCAGAAGCAGCGGCCCAGCUGCCAUGGGCUGUUUGUCCAGAGCCCUGAGCUCUUUGGGCACGGAGCUCGAUGAUGCAACAGAUUUUUAACACCAUAAAUCAAUAUCCUGGAAACGGAGAGAAAACCCCGAAGAAUGAAUGACAGAAAACAUUUGAACCCCAAAGCCGCCUCCCCCUCCCACACACACAAGUACCAGCAAAAGCAUCACCACCACCCACCAUGCAAGCAAUAGCAAAGCCCCCAGAGACCAUGAGUUAGAGUCCAUCAAAAACUUCUGCCCGUCCCAGCACUUCAACAUCUCAACAGGCCCUCUCUCUCACUAACGAGAGAGAGAAAGAGAUAUCACUCCAGCCACAGUGAGAGUGGAGGCCAACAGCCUGCUGUUGCAGCAUUACAAUCUGCAGAGUCACUUAUUCGCGUUCCCCCGACUUGAGAGCCAGUGGAUUCUCACUCACCAUCGAGAGAGAGGGAGAGAGACAGACAGUCAGACAGACAGAGACAGACAGAGAGAGAGAGAGAGAGAGAGAGAGAGAGAGAGAGAGAGAGAGAGAGAGAGAGAGAGAGAUACAGGGCUUCACCCCAAAGGCACACAUCUUUCAGCCUGCUCCUAGAGAUACCGAAACGCCAGGCCGCUCGACAAUUUCUGAGAGCGAGCGCCCACCAAACCAUGAACUACAUAGUUUCAGUACAGCUGUAAACCACAGACUCUGAUAGGACUGACAGGAAUAAAGAUUAAAGGUAAAGAUUAAGAUUAGAUUUAUUUCUCAGAUGUACAUUGAAACAUAUUGUGAAAUGCGUUGUUUGCAUCAAUCAAACCAGCAAAGAUUGUAGUGGGCAGCCUACCCUUUAGGUGCCAACACAGAACGCUCACAACUCACCAACCCUAACCCGUACGCCUUUGAAAUGUGGGAGGAAACGGGAGCACACUGAGGAAACCUAUGUGGUCACAGUACGAACUCCUUACAGGCAGUAGUGGGAAUUGAACCGUGAUCGGUGAUGCUAUCAUGCUGCCUAGAGUUUGUCUAAUCACCCCAUGACCAUACGGAUACAACUGGGUGCUUUGGCUUCCUUCCAAAACCCAGAGACGUGUUGGCAGGUUAAUCGGCCACUGUAAACUACUCCAGCACAUAGGUAAUUAUCAAAAGAAUCAAAGGGGAGAUAAUGGGAGCACGCAUGAGAUAAUAAAGUUCAGGGAUACAGGAAAAUAAGAAGUGGAAAGAUUUUUUUUGCUGAGAGUCGGUAGGGAUCUGAUGGGUGAAUGGCCUCCCUCUUGAAACUAGAGGUCUGGUGAAGCUCUAAUAAUCUGGCACAUCUGGGAAUCUGGUAGUGCCAGAUAGGAAGGUUUUCUGGAUUAUUGCAUGUUAUUCCCAA
Molecule: long non-coding RNA, 1664 nt
Organism: Hypanus sabinus (Atlantic stingray)
Lineage: Eukaryota; Metazoa; Chordata; Chondrichthyes; Myliobatiformes; Dasyatidae
Exons: 3
Source: RefSeq, a predicted model, not a curated record